Long non-coding RNA from Populus nigra (black poplar), 921 nucleotides. RefSeq lists it as uncharacterized. The record is from RefSeq and is a predicted model, not a curated record. The transcript is spliced from 2 exons. NCBI's taxonomy places the organism in Eukaryota, Viridiplantae, Streptophyta, Magnoliopsida, Malpighiales, Salicaceae.
CUCUCUCUCUCCUGCAUUCAAAAACCCGAUUUCUCAAUUUUCUGUUUUACUGUCUUGCGUUGAUUCCCUCUCGUGUAGGAACAAAGUAACCGUGGUCCCCCUCGCUCGCCUGUAACUCAACAACACAGCUGUAGAAGAGCUUGCCAUGCCCUGAAGGGAGAGAACAGCAGACUUCAUGGGAGGAUGCACAGCCUUGCUGUUAUUGGUUAUGUGCAUGAUUAAUUCAAACCGAAUUUCACAGUUGUAGAAGAUCCUGUGAGGUUAUGUUGUCAACUUACAAUUUCAUAUAAUUCUUUAUUCUAGUGGUUUCCUUAUUAGUGCAACAUAAUUUGAAGUACGUCAUUAGCAAUGCUCAUUGUUUUGGUGGGAUUGGUUGGGCCAUGACAGAGUUCAGUUGGGAUGUCAAGUAUGCUGGCCUUCAAAUCAUGGCUUCCAAGGUAAAAUCGAACCUUUUCAUCUCUCAUUAUAUAGGACUUUGCUUUUGCCCAGUUUCAAAGAUGAGUUAGUAUUAAUUUACUUUAAAUCACACUUUCACUUCUUUUUUUGCCUAUUGAACUACUGCAAUCGCGUUACUGCCUCCUGGGGUACGAAGAAAGCUGCGUUCGUCUCGGCCUUGGAAUUAGUUGACAGGGUAAUGGGAAUGGAUCAUUCGUGUAAAUUUCACGAUGGCAUUUGAUCUUGUGGACUUUACUGAAGCUGAUGAGAAUUUGAACGUGGAAUCGCCUGACCUGUUUUAUGCUGGCUUUGAUAGAAAUUAAUGAUGGGAGAGAUGCUGAAACUGAAUAAAAUGAGGCAGUGCAAGCUGUUCUUGGUGUUUGAUUAUUGUGCUAAGGAGGGAAUACAUGUGUUUAAAUUUUGGACGUGUUUUUGGUUGAAUUUUGCAUGUGUUUGGUUGAAUAAAGGGGAGUGUUUUUGCUUGAA